Transfer RNA from Gloeophyllum trabeum ATCC 11539, 115 nucleotides. It matches the Rfam family "tRNA". From Rfam's summary of the family: Transfer RNA (tRNA) molecules are approximately 80 nucleotides in length. Lineage: Eukaryota; Fungi; Basidiomycota; Agaricomycetes; Gloeophyllales; Gloeophyllaceae. The record is from Rfam.
GGCCCUGUAGUGUAGCGGUCCAUCACAUCGGAUUCUGACAACAUCUGAUUACGUAAUCAUAUAACGUAACGGUCCGGAGAUUCCGGUAACCCAGGUUCGAUUCCUGGCAGGGCCU